GGAGGGGUGGCCGAGCGGUCGAAGGCGCACGCCUGGAGAGCGUGUAUAUGUCAAAAGCGUAUCGUGGGUUCGAAUCCCACCCCCUCCG
RNAcentral lists this transfer RNA (88 nucleotides) under invertebrate metagenome. RNAcentral describes it as "tRNA-Ser-GGA". It matches the Rfam family "tRNA". Rfam says of the family: Transfer RNA (tRNA) molecules are approximately 80 nucleotides in length. Their secondary structure includes four short double-helical elements and three loops (D, anti-codon, and T loops). Further hydrogen bonds mediate the characteristic L-shaped molecular structure. tRNAs have two regions of fundamental functional importance: the anti-codon, which is responsible for specific mRNA codon recognition, and the 3' end, to which the tRNAs corresponding amino acid is attached (by aminoacyl-tRNA synthetases). tRNAs cope with the degeneracy of the genetic code in two manners: having more than one tRNA (with a specific anti-codon) for a particular amino acid; and 'wobble' base-pairing, i.e. permitting non-standard base-pairing at the 3rd anti-codon position. The record is from RNAcentral.